CCGCGAAAUGCAUUUAGGUGCAGCGUCGUGCGUUCAACGAUGGGGGUAGAGCACUGAAUGGGCUAGGGUUCCUACAAGACUACCGACCCCAAUCAAACUCCGAAUACCAUCGUUCCAGAGCACGGCAGUGAGACCUCGGGGGAUGAGCUUCGAGGUCGAGAGGGAAACAGCCCAGACCGCCGGCUAAGGUCCCAAAAUCUGAACUAAGUGGUAAACGAUGUGAGAUUGCGAAGACAGCCAGGAGGUUGGCUUGGAAGCAGCCAUCCUUGAAAGAGUGCGUAACAGCUCACUGGUCGAGUGAUCUUGCGCGGACAAUGUAACGGGGCUCAAGUUCAGUACCGAAGCCGCGGAUGCGACUCUUUGAGUCGUGUGGUAGCGGAGCGUCGAGCGUGCAGCGAAGCGGCGGGACAACCCAGCCGUGGAGCGCGUUCGAGUGCGAAUGUUGGCAUGAGUAGCGAAUGAGGGGUGAGAACCCCCUCCGCCGUAUGUCCAAGGGUUCCUGGGCGAGGCCAAUCCUCCCAGGGUGAGUCGGGAGCUAAGGCGAGGCCGAGAGGCGUAGUCGAUGCACAACUGGUUGAUAUUCCAGUACCACCAUGUUCGCGUCCGUCCCAAUACUCUGUUGCUAAGGGGCUGUGUUGACUUCGGUCAACGCGAACCGACCCACAUUGUUGCGGGAAGCUGUAGGGGGACGCAGGAAGGUAGAUGAACCCGGUGAAUGGUAGAACCGGGGUAAGCGUGUAGGAGGAGGACCAGGUAAAUCCGGGCCUCAUAAACUCUGAGACGUGAUACCGAGCCGCUUCAGGCGAAGUCAUUGAUCCUAUGCUGCCUAGAAAAGCCCAGCAGCGAGUUGACAUGGUGCCCGUACCCCAAACCAACACAGGUGGACAGGUAGAGCAUACCAAGGCGAGUGGGAUAACUAUGGUUAAGGAACUCGGCAAAUUGACUCCGUAACUUCGGGAGAAGGAGGACCCCAGUAGCGUGAUGAGACUUGCUCUCUGAGCGUGAAGGGGUGGUACAAAAUUGAGGGAAGCGACUGUUUACCAAAAACACAGCAGCGUGCUAAGCCGUAAGGCGCUGUAUACGCUGUGACUCCUGCCCGGUGCUGGAAGGUUACGGGGAUGGGUUAGUCCUUCGGGACGAAGCUCUGAACCUAAGCCCCAGUAAACGGCGGCCGUAACUAUAACGGUCCUAAGGUAGCGAAAUUCCUUGUCGGGUAAGUUCCGACCUGCACGAAUGGAGUAACGACUUCCCUACUGUCUCAAUCAUAGACCCAGCGAAAUUGAAGUACGAGUAAAGAUGCUCGUUAGCUGCAGAAGGACGGAAAGACCCCGUGGACCUUUACUAUAACUUGAUGUUGUGUUUUGUCAUAUGUUGUGUAGGAUAGGUGGGAGACC
Molecule: ribosomal RNA, 1394 nt
Filed under: metagenome
Description: bacterial LSU rRNA
Rfam family: Bacterial large subunit ribosomal RNA
Source: RNAcentral